UUUUCUCAAGGAAGAAGACCUGACGGUACUUGAGGAAUAAGCCACGGCUAAUUCCGUGCCAGCAGCCGCGGUAAUACGGGAGUGGCAAGCGUUAUCCGGAAUUAUUGGGCGUAAAGCGUCCGCAGGCGGCCCUGUAAGUCUGUCGUUAAAGCGUGGAGCUUAACUCCAUUUAAGCGAUGGAAACUACAGGGCUUGAGUGUGGUAGGGGCAGAGGGAAUUCCCGGUGUAGCGGUGAAAUGCGUAGAUAUCGGGAAGAACACCAGUGGCGAAGGCGCUCUGCUGGGCCAUAACUGACGCUCAUGGACGAAAGCCAGGGGAGCGAAAGGGAUUAGAUACCCCUGUAGUCCUGGCCGUAAACGAUGAACACUAGGUGUCGGGGGAAUCGACCCCCUCGGUGUCGUAGCCAACGCGUUAAGUGUUCCGCCUGGGGAGUACGCACGCAAGUGUGAAACUCAAAGGAAUUGACGGGGGCCCGCACAAGCGGUGGAGUAUGUGGUUUAAUUCGAUGCAACGCGAAGAACCUUACCAGGGUUUGACAUCCUGCGAACCCCCUGGAAACGGGGGGGUGCCUUAGGGAACGCAGUGACAGGUGGUGCAUGGCUGUCGUCAGCUCGUGUCGUGAGAUGUUGGGUUAAGUCCCGCAACGAGCGCAACCCACGUCGUUAGUUGCCAGCAUUCAGUUGGGCACUCUAGCGAGACCGCCGGUGAUAAACCGGAGGAAGGUGUGGAUGACGUCAAGUCAUCAUGCCCCUUACAUCCUGGGCUACACACGUACUACAAUGCUACGGACAAAGGGCCGCAAGCUCGCGAGAGUUAGCAAAUCCCAUAAACCGUGGCUCAGUUCAGAUCGUAGGCUGCAACUCGCCUACGUGAAGGAGGAAUCGCUAGUAAUCGCAGGUCAGCAUACUGCGGUGAAUACGUUCCCGGGCCUUGUACACACCGCCCGUCACACCAUGG
This 957-nucleotide ribosomal RNA is filed under the name uncultured cyanobacterium. Its description in RNAcentral is "bacterial SSU rRNA". It matches the Rfam family "Bacterial small subunit ribosomal RNA", at positions 434 to 1407 of the family's 1533-position model. Lineage: Bacteria; Bacillati; Cyanobacteriota. The record is from RNAcentral.